This 914-nucleotide ribosomal RNA is filed under the name uncultured marine archaeon. Its description in RNAcentral is "bacterial SSU rRNA". It matches the Rfam family "Archaeal small subunit ribosomal RNA", at positions 1 to 922 of the family's 1478-position model. The record is from RNAcentral.
UUCCGGUUGAUCCCGCCGGACCUGACUGCUAUCGGAUUGAUACUAAGCCAUGCGAGUCAUUGUAGCAAUACAAGGCAUACGGCUCAGUAACGCGUAGUCAACCUAACCUAUGGACGGGAAUAACCUCGGGAAACUGAGAAUAAUGCCCGAUAGAACAUUAUGCCUGGAAUGGCUUAUGUUCCAAAUGAUUUAUCGCCGUAGGAUGGGACUGCGGCCUAUCAGUUUGUUGGUGAGGUAAUGGCCCACCAAGACUAUUACAGGUACGGGCUCUGAGAGGAGUAGCCCGGAGAUGGGUACUGAGACACGGACCCAGGCCCUAUGGGGCGCAGCAGGCGAGAAAACUUUGCAAUGUGCGAAAGCACGACAAGGUUAAUCCGAGUGAUUUGUGCUAAACGAAUCUUUUGUUAGUCCUAGAAACACUAACGAAUAAGGGGUGGGCAAGUUCUGGUGUCAGCCGCCGCGGUAAAACCAGCACCUCAAGUGGUCAGGAUGAUUAUUGGGCCUAAAGCAUCCGUAGCCGGCUCUGUAAGUUUUCGGUUAAAUCUGUACGCUCAACGUACAGGCUGCCGGGAAUACUGCAGAGCUAGGGAGUGGGAGAGGUAGACGGUACUCGGUAGGAAGUGGUAAAAUGCUUUGAUCUAUCGAUGACCACCUGUGGCGAAGGCGGUCUACCAGAACACGUCCGACGGUGAGGGAUGAAAGCUGGGGGAGCAAACCGGAUUAGAUACCCGGGUAGUCCCAGCUGUAAACUAUGCAAACUCAGUGAUGCAUUGGCUUGUGGCCAAUGCAGUGCUGCAGGGAAGCCGUUAAGUUUGCCGCCUGGGAAGUACGUACGCAAGUAUGAAACUUAAAGGAAUUGGCGGGGGAGCACCACAAGGGGUGAAGCCUGCGGUUCAAUUGGAGUCAACGCCGGG